AUUGAACGCUGGCGGCAUGCCUUACACAUGCAAGUCGAACGGCAGCACGGGGGCAACCCUGGUGGCGAGUGGCGAACGGGUGAGUAACACAUCGGAACGUGCCCAGUAGUGGGGGAUAGCUCGGCGAAAGCCGGAUUAAUACCGCAUACGACCUACGGGUGAAAGCGGGGGAUCGCAAGACCUCGCGCUAUCGGAGCGGCCGAUGUCAGAUUAGGUUGUUGGUGGGGUAAAGGCCACCAAGCCGACGAUCUGUAGCUGGUCUGAGAGGACGACCAGCCACACUGGGACUGAGACACGGCCCAGACUCCUACGGGAGGCAGCAGUGGGGAAUUUUGGACAAUGGGCGCAAGCCUGAUCCAGCCAUGCCGCGUGCGGGAAGAAGGCC
RNAcentral lists this ribosomal RNA (385 nucleotides) under uncultured bacterium. RNAcentral describes it as "bacterial SSU rRNA". It matches the Rfam family "Bacterial small subunit ribosomal RNA", at positions 29 to 416 of the family's 1533-position model. The record is from RNAcentral.